RNAcentral lists this unclassified non-coding RNA (224 nucleotides) under plant metagenome. Its description in RNAcentral is "partial contains small subunit ribosomal RNA, internal transcribed spacer 1, and 5.8S ribosomal RNA". The record is from RNAcentral.
GCUCCGUUGGUGAACCAGCGGAGGGAUCAUUACAGGACUCGCAAGACUCCUUCACCCUGUGAACCUCACUACGAGCACGUUGCUUCGGCGGGUGUCCCGGCGGGGGUUUUCCCUCGCCGGGGCGCACAGCCCGCCGGCAGCCUACUAUACUCUGUCUCUUUGCGUUGGCAUCUCGAGAAAAAACAAACAAGUUAAAACUUUCAACAACGGAUCUCUUGGUUCUG